RNAcentral lists this ribosomal RNA (3669 nucleotides) under Candidatus Woesearchaeota archaeon. Its description in RNAcentral is "23S ribosomal RNA". It matches the Rfam family "Archaeal large subunit ribosomal RNA". The record is from RNAcentral. Lineage: Archaea; Nanobdellati; Candidatus Woesearchaeota.
GGCGGACGACUUGGUUCUAGACGCUGAAGAAGGACGCGGCUAACUGCGAAAUGCCUCGGCAAAGCGUAUGCAGCUAUUGAACCGAGGAUCUCCGAAUAGGACUUCCUCUUGAAUCCGAAAGGAUGGGGAACGCAGGGAACUGAAACAUCUUAGUACCUGCAGGAAAAGAAACCAAUAGGGAUGCGGCAAGUAAAGGCGAUUGAAAACCGCAAAAGGCAAACUGAAUCUGACAUUGAAAGAUGUUAGAAAUGUGGUGUUAUUGGACUGUCCUUAAGCCCAAACUUGGAAACCUGAAGUCUUCUGGAAAGAAGUGCCAAAGAGGGUGAUAGCCCCGUAAGGGCAACUAAGUGGGCCCAGACAGUAUCCAGAGUACUGCUCCUUGGAUAUGGAGUGGGAAGUUGGGUGGCAUCAACAUCCAACCUUAAAUACGCCUAGAAUCCGAUAGCGAACAAGUACCGUGAGGGAAAGUUGAAAAGAACCCGUGACAGGGAGUUAAAAGAGCCUGAAACCUAAUAGAUAUGGAUAGGCACUGCACUACGGUGUUGUGCCGUGCGUUUGGAAAAACGAGCCAGGGAGUUUAUUCGUGUGGCAAGCAUAACUUCAUCAAAAGGAAUGCAAAGCGAAAGCAACAAGCCCGCAAGCAAUGAGGGGCGAGGUCUAAAAGGGCCUGAAGUCACUCGAAUAAGACCCGAAACCGCUCGAUCUAGUCCUGGGUAAGGUGAAGUGAGGGUAAAACCUCGUGGAGGCCUGAAGAGGUGCUACAUGCAUGUGUUCUUCUAACCUGGGAUUAGGGGUGAAAAGCCAAUCGAGAGCGGUGAUAGCUGGUUCCUACCGAAGUUGGCGUUAGUCAAACCUCAAGCGAGACCACAAAACCUGUAGAGCUACGGAAAGAAAAUUUAGGGGGAGAAAUCCUUCGGUUUUCUGUCCAACUCCGAAAGAUUUUGUGUCAUAGACCUUGGGAGACGGGGAUUCGGGGUAAGCUUGAAUUCCGAGAGGGUAACAACCCAGACUAUGGUUAAGGUCCCUAAAUACUAGUUAAGUGUUAAAGGUUAAAAGGUAUCUGCAUCCAGAGACAACAGGGAGGUUGGCUUAGAAGCAGCCACCCUUCAAAAAGUGCGUAACAGCUUACCUGUCGAGGAUGCGGGUCCUGAAAAUGGACGGGGCUAAAUUAGUUACCGACACCAUAGACGAGCCAAAAGCUCGUGAUAGGUAGGCGUGCUGGUCGGGCAGAAGCACGUUUGAAAACUCGUGUGGACCGAUUAGCAACGAAAAUCCUGGCGGUAGUAGGAUCUUAGCAAUGUGAGAAUCAUUGCCGCUGAAAGGGCAAGGGUUCCUUGACAAUGUCAAUCAGUCAAGGGUAAGUUGGUCCUAACUGAACUCCUAACAGGAGUUUGUAAGGAAAGGGAAACAGGUUAAUAUUCCUGUACUACCAAAGUAUGCGUGGCAACACAAGCCUUGUUUCUGACACUUUUGGCUAGGCAGGCACAAACCGUCGUUUGUGUUAAUCAUGAUAAAUCGAGGGAGUAUCGUUACGAUGAGAACUCGAUUAAACGUGAGAAUAGUAAUCCUAUGGGUUAUCCUGUCAAUGCCUGGAGUCCAUGAAAAAGGAACAAGGAAAAAUCUUUGGUAUCCAUACCCAGAACCGGCACUGGUGCCCCUAGGUGAGAAGCCUAAAGCGUGAAGGAUUAAUCUGGUUAAGGGAACUCGGCAAAUUAGCCCCGUGCCUUCGGCAUAAGGGGUCCCUGCUCUUGUGUUCACAUGAAUGCGAGAGCAGGGCGCAGUGACUCGGGGGUCCCGACUGUUUAACAAAAACUUAACCGGCUGCUAAGCUGUAAAGCCUUGUAUAGCCGGUGACGUCUGCCCAGUGAUGGUAUCCGAACCUCUUUUACAAGGGAGCGAAGGACCAUUAAACGGCGGGAGUAACUAUAACUCUCUUAAGGUAAACAAAGUUGCCUUAGUAAAAUCUGGCUAUAUGCUGGAAAAUCUGAGUAUCCCACACUACCACUGGACAAUAUCGCGUAAAAUAUAUAAACAAACUACAUAGUAAUUUGUUUUAUGAAAAAAACGCAUGUUCAAGGUAACAAUGUGAUGGGUGCAGACAAUCAGCAGGAAAGACUGGAUGCUAACUGGAUUGCUGGUUUUGUUGAUGGAGAAGGUUGUUUUCAUGUUUCCAUUAACAAGAUUCCAAGAAUGAGCUUGGGAUGGCAAGUACUUCCUGAAUUCAGAAUCGUUCAACACGAAAAGGAUGAUAAAGUCUUAUACCAAAUCAAAAAAUAUUUUGGUUUUGGUGAUGUUAAAAUCAAUAGAAGUGAUCAUCACGGUGUGAGAAAAGAAUUCAGAGCAAGAGGUUUGGAAAAUCUCAACAAAAUAGUUGCUUUUUUUAUGAAGUAUAACUUAAAAACUUCAAAAAGAAAAGAAUUUGAGAUUUUUUCGCAGAUUAUUCAUUUAAUGAAUAAUCAAAAACAUCUGACUAAAGAAGGACUUGACCAAAUCGCGCAGCUUAUUUCUAGGAUGAACCGCAAACCAUUAUUAAAGUAUUUAGAAUCCUCAGAGACUAUACGCCAGACACGUACUAAUACGUGAAGAUAUAGUCCGACCCGCUAGGCGACUAGCGGAGAUCCUAAAAAAUCCUAUGGAUUUUUGGGACGCCGAAAAUUCUCAAUUUUCGAGCGCGUGCAGAAAUGCUCGUCCGCCUUCCCACACAGGAAGGUCAUACCUCUUACGAGGAAAAGUAACAGAUGUGAGCGUAAUGCCUUGUCGUUUGAAUGGCGACGUGCAUGAAGGGCGCAACGAGGUCCCCACUGUCCCUAACCAGAAACCUCCGAACACACCAUUCUGGUGAAAAGGCCAGAGAUCUCCAGUGGGAAGUCUAGACCCCAUGGAACUUUACUGCAAUCUGUUGUUGUGAUGCGGAUUCUGUUGUAUAGAGUAUGCGGGAGUUGUUUGAGGUCUUGAUCGUCAGGUCAAGGCUGAGACGAAAGUGUAACACCGCACUUCAGAAUCUGCAUUGCUUACUCUUUUCGGAGAGGACACCUGCAGGUAGGCAGUUCGGCUGGGGCGGCACGCUGUUGAAAGGAUAUCAAUAGCGCCCUAAGGUUGACUCAUUCCGGUCGGAAAUCGGAAGUAGAGUGCAAGGGUAAAAGUCAGCCUGACUGAAUUAUGAUACGGAAAUAAUUCAGGAACGAAAGUUUGGCCUAGCGAACCUCCGUGUCCUCCUUGAUGGGGGCCGGGGAUGACCGAAAAGUUACCCUGGGGGUAAUGGAGUUGUCGCGCCCGAGAGUUCAUAUCGACGGCGCGGCUUGCUGCGUCGCUGUCGGCUCUUCCUAUCCUGGCAGUGCAGAAUGUAUAGCACUUAAGUGAGGUUAUUGCCUCACCACUAUGGUGUUAUAACUGUAGGCUGCCAAGGGUGAGGGAGUUCACCUAUCAAAAGGGAUCGUUAGCUGGGUUCACAACGCUGUGAGGCAGUUGGUAUAAUAUCUACUGGAGAUGUAUUGAUGUCUGAGAGAAAGGAAGUCAUAGUACGAGAGGAACUGGCUUUCGAGGCCUCUAGUUUACCGGCUAUCUGACAAGGUAUUAAGCCGGGCAGCCACGCCUUAGAGGAUAAGUUCUGAAAGCAUCUAAGAACGAAGCCUCUCCCGAAAAGAGACAUCACAGGACAUGGUUAGAAGA